GUUGAGUGGGAAUAAAGAGCUAACAUAAUAUGGAUGGGGAACGCCUAUAAAUCAACAUUCUUCAGUUGCUAAAUAGCUUGAUUUUCAUUAAAAAUGAUAUGGUUCCCUACCAUUUUCCCUACCAAAAAUCCCUUGUCAGAUUAACGUUUGACAAGGGAUUUUUC
Molecule: small RNA, 164 nt
Filed under: Enterococcus thailandicus
Lineage: Bacteria; Bacillati; Bacillota; Bacilli; Lactobacillales; Enterococcaceae
Description: Listeria sRNA rli38
Rfam family: Listeria sRNA rli38
Source: Rfam by way of RNAcentral